GACGAACGCUGGCGGCGGGCUUAACACAUGCAAGUCGAACGGAAAGGCCCUGCGUUUGUGGGGUGCUCGAGUGGCGAACGGGUGAGUAACACGUGAGUAACCUGCCCUUGACUUUGGGAUAACUUCAGGAAACUGGGGCUAAUACCGGAUAGGAGCUCCUGCUGCGUUGUGGGGGUUGGAAAGUUUCGGCGGUUGGGGAUGGACUCGCGGCUUAUCAGCUUGUUGGUGGGGUAGUGGCUUACCAAGGCUUUGACGGGUAGCCGGCCUGAGAGGGUGACCGGCCACAUUGGGACUGAGAUACGGCCCAGACUCCUACGGGAGGCAGCAGUGGGGAAUAUUGCACAAUGGGCGGAAGCCUGAUGCAGCAACGCCGCGUGCGGGAUGACGGCCUUCGGGUUGUAAACCGCUUUCGCCUGUGACGAAGCGUGAGUGACGGUAAUGGGUAAAGAAGCACCGGCUAACUACGUG
RNAcentral lists this ribosomal RNA (468 nucleotides) under uncultured bacterium. Its description in RNAcentral is "partial 16S ribosomal RNA". It matches the Rfam family "Bacterial small subunit ribosomal RNA", at positions 28 to 507 of the family's 1533-position model. The record is from RNAcentral.